AGGAUACGUGCCUGAGCCACAAAGGGCUACUUUGAUAGAGUAGAUAAUAGGGGUUAAAGCCCCCUCGUAUCCU
RNAcentral lists this transfer RNA (73 nucleotides) under Melanosuchus niger (black caiman). RNAcentral's name for it is "tRNA-Ile". It matches the Rfam family "tRNA". Rfam says of the family: Transfer RNA (tRNA) molecules are approximately 80 nucleotides in length. Their secondary structure includes four short double-helical elements and three loops (D, anti-codon, and T loops). Further hydrogen bonds mediate the characteristic L-shaped molecular structure. tRNAs have two regions of fundamental functional importance: the anti-codon, which is responsible for specific mRNA codon recognition, and the 3' end, to which the tRNAs corresponding amino acid is attached (by aminoacyl-tRNA synthetases). tRNAs cope with the degeneracy of the genetic code in two manners: having more than one tRNA (with a specific anti-codon) for a particular amino acid; and 'wobble' base-pairing, i.e. permitting non-standard base-pairing at the 3rd anti-codon position. Lineage: Eukaryota; Metazoa; Chordata; Crocodylia; Alligatoridae. The record is from RNAcentral.